Molecule: long non-coding RNA, 1181 nt
Organism: Anser brachyrhynchus (Pink-footed goose)
Lineage: Eukaryota; Metazoa; Chordata; Aves; Anseriformes; Anatidae
Source: Ensembl
AAAAUGUGCAAAGCUGUUUGUCUCCCAGUCAGAGACGAAUGGGAGCGACUGCUGGCAUACUGAGGUGUCACACUGAAGAAGAGUGCAGGCAGAGCUGGGCUGGCAAGAACGUGGUCUGCAAGGAACUUGCUUCUUUUGGAUAGGUCGUAAAGCAGGCUUCCUCCUCAAAUGUGACAAAACCUGGGGACAAAAUCCACACGCUUCUUAGAGUAUUUUUGGAUCCAGGGUCCUACUCCAGGAAAAUGGGCUUUGUUGGCAUUAACUGAAAAAAAAUUUGCCUCCUUCUGACCAAGAUAAUGCAUCAGCAGGAUUCCAGACUGAGCUCAUUGUCUUAGAGUUGAAGGAUGCCUUAGCCUAGAACGAUGCAAAAGGAGUUGGGUCAGACCACCCUAGAGGAGCAUGGAAAUGAGCCAUUUCCACACCAUUUGCCUGGAAGAUCCACACUUUUCUUUGGAUUCAGUCUCUUCAAUUUGAUAAAGACUCAUAAAAGAAGAUGUAGUAAAAAUGUCCAGAUAAACGCCUGGUUUGUGAUCCUCAUAGUCCCUCUUGAAAUCACAAUUCUCAUUUCGAUAGUGAGGAACUGUGACAUACACAAAUCAAUCGAGUUGUCUUAAUCAAGCAAGGAGAUGCUUAGAGCUGGAAUGUAAGGAGCUGAGCUUAGUGUUCUUAAUUCAGACUGCCAGACCAUGCUGUCCUCCAAAGUGUUAGGUUAGUAGGCUUUAUGAACUAUUCUUUUUAUUUCACAUGUUUUAUGUGAAAUUUAUCAAUUCUACUCUCUGCAAGAUAACAUUGUGUGGAGCACAUAGAAAAUCACUACUUUUAGGUGCCAAUCAGUUUACCUGCUUAGCAUGGUGCCACUGCCGCCUUUGUCUGAAGGCAUUAAAUUCUUGACAGAGCGUGGCUCUUCUUCUGAAGGGACACUGCCCAAAAGUGUGCCAUGGUUUUGAGAGCCAGGGCCUGUGGUGACGAAGGGGAGCCCUGCAGUCCCCCGCAGCAGCCUGGAGAGUACCCAGCAAAGACCUCAACCAGGGCCAUGAAAAUUAGCCAGCAUAGGUACUGUGCCAAAUCAUUUGAGAGAAAUGCCAGCUGGCCGAGCUGUUAAGCUGUCUUUUCUAGGAGGGAUUCCACUUUCUAGAAAUUUGCCUACUGCAUAUCUAAUGUCUAUUCUCAGUUUACUUUCG